RNAcentral lists this microRNA precursor (105 nucleotides) under Canis lupus familiaris (dog). RNAcentral describes it as "mir-8834 microRNA precursor family". It matches the Rfam family "mir-8834 microRNA precursor family". Lineage: Eukaryota; Metazoa; Chordata; Mammalia; Carnivora; Canidae. RNAcentral also lists the same sequence under 1 other name. The record is from Rfam by way of RNAcentral.
AGGAGCAACAGCCCUAGUGGCGGGGCUGGCUCUGGAAACGUGGAUUCAGCUCCGGCAGGAACUCCGGACGUCUCCGUCUGCAGGGCCUGGAGGCUCCGGGGCGGG